CACUUUUUCACCAGCAAGAAAAGAACGGAAAAAGAGACUUUUCAAAGCCUCUCACACACCCAGCCUGCAGCCAGCUGACACUUUAAAUCAUUUCAGACAGUUUUCUACGUCACAACCUCAGUUCAGUUCGACCCGGAUAUGCACACUGCCGCUUGUCUUUUAGACGCCAACAGGUCCGCAGAUUCUCCCGCAAUAUCAACAAAAACACAGCUUUUCACGGGCCACGGCGGGUCCACAAAUGCACAGUAGUCAAGCAAUCACCGUGACGUCUGCCGUCCGAUCACCUGAUCUGGCCUCGACCUCCGCCGACAACAAACACCUGUACUUCUUUCUACUGAUCUUCAGAUGCCUCGCAUCCUCCACCAAAUGAAGCAAGAUCGAUCAACUGGAGACCAGAACAACAAACGACGGAGGCACCAGACAAGUGCAAUCAAACGAUGAGUUUAUUAACACCAGAGAGGAACCAUCAGCAUAUGUCUUCCUCUGACAAAAAUACAUUGAAUGCUGGUUUUAUAGCAUAGAAAAUUAACGCCCACACAUACAUGUCAAAUACAGGUCAAAAAUACAUUGUUUACAGACAUGAGCACAUCUCGUACAUCUUAAUAACUAUAAACAGUCAUGUAACUUCUCUUUUCUAUAACACUUGCCUUUUAAGGUAAUAAACUUCAAGCUUCAGGGUCUCUAAGGGCUAAUAAUGGACCCUCGUCACCAAUCACUAAGUAGACAGAAUUGGCGCAGGUCUCAAAGAAAAGCAGAAGACACUUGGGCCUUCGCUCAGGCCUGCUACUAGAUUAAUAUGUGUAUUGUAAGCAUGCAUGCAAUUAACCUGCUAUGUUCUCAUCUUCCCUCAACAUGUAUCACCUGGACACUCUCACCAGUGAAGCUUAAAACCCUCUUGGAUGGAACAUCAACUCUAAACAAGCACAGUUAUGCAUUGUGUAUAGAAUGAACUCAACCUGUGAAUAGAAAGGUCACUGUGAUGACAAACAUAUUCAAUGCAAUAUGAACCCUGUAAGAAAUAUUACUGAUAAAAUAAUGCUGUAAAACAUGUUAUUAAUGCAUUUAUCAUAAGGCAGGUUAUAUGGUAACAAUAAAAGAAUCUCUGAAUCCCAACAAGCUCUUAAGCAGGUGAUUAAGCUGCUUCCACAUCCUGCAAGAAGCAACCGGGACAGCUGACUACUUUUACAAAUUCUCUUUUCACAUAUCUUUAGGUUACCGAAAAAUGAUCAAAUGUAAGCAGCUCUAACUCUGACUCUUUUCUGACACAGGUAGGAUGGACCUUGUCGCUUGACAAGUCGUCAUUUUAAUCCUACAUCCAAAAAAACCUAAUAAAGAAUUCA
Oreochromis aureus is the source of this 1340-nucleotide long non-coding RNA. Lineage: Eukaryota; Metazoa; Chordata; Actinopteri; Cichliformes; Cichlidae. The record is from Ensembl.